GCCGGGCACGGUGGCUUGUGCCUGUAAUCCAAGCGCCGGGGAGGCUGAGGCUGGCGGACGGCUUGAGCCUGGGGGUUCUGGGCUGCAGCCAAGCGAGCUGUGCCGAGUGGGCGUCCGCGCUAAGGCCGGCAUCGAUAUGGUGGUCCUCGGGGAGCCGCGGGCCACCAGGUCGCUUAAGGAGGGGUGAACCGGCCCAGGUCGGAGACGGAGCAGGUCAAAGCUCCCGUGCCGGUCAGUAGCGGGAUGGCGCCUGUGAACAGUCCCUGUAGCACAGCCUGGGCAAGAGAGCGGGACCCAGCCUCUU
RNAcentral lists this signal recognition particle RNA (304 nucleotides) under Aptenodytes forsteri (emperor penguin). RNAcentral's name for it is "Metazoan signal recognition particle RNA". It matches the Rfam family "Metazoan signal recognition particle RNA". From Rfam's summary of the family: The signal recognition particle (SRP) is a universally conserved ribonucleoprotein. It is involved in the co-translational targeting of proteins to membranes. The eukaryotic SRP consists of a 300-nucleotide 7S RNA and six proteins: SRPs 72, 68, 54, 19, 14, and 9. The record is from Rfam by way of RNAcentral. Lineage: Eukaryota; Metazoa; Chordata; Aves; Sphenisciformes; Spheniscidae.